CCACGGCCAUAUUUCUGAGGGGCUCUGAAGUCAGUUCCGGACCCCUGAGCGCGUACUUCCGCUUAGAUGCAAAAGUGGGAGGGGCCCUUAAAAGGGCAAUGACAUACGUUGGCCACUGUGAAAGGUCAGUUUCUCGAGUGCUUAACAGUGUUCCAACCAUUGUUUUAAGCACUUGAAAAAUACAUUUGUCUAUUUACUCCUCACAACAAACCCAUGAGCCAGAUAGUUUGUCUGAGGUCACACAAGUGGCAGAGCCUGAACCCUGUGCUGUCUACAUUCAUUCUGCAAUCAUUUCAUGUACUAUGCAUUCACUUUGCUCUGGGGCAGGCGCUGGGGAGAAAGGCAAGGCCAGAUAAUUGUUACACAACGUGAUGGAGGAAGCCCACGGGGUAGUGGCAACACAGGACCCAAACAGGGGAGCGGGGGCCCCGACUCACCUGGGUCCGUUGCAUUCCGUCGCCCCCUGGCGGCCCUCCCGGGAACUGACCCGUGGUGUCCUCUCGAGCCAUCCUGUCUCCGCGAGGGUUAAAGCAAGAUCGAGACUGAGAAGCUGGCGAAUCCGGUUCUGUUCGGCCGUUGCCCUGGCGAGUGACCUCGAUUCACCUUGCAGAACCGCAGUGACCUCAUCAGGGAGUUGAGGCAUGUGCUGGGUCAGUUUUUCCCCUAAACUCAACCAUUCAGAAAACUGGGACGCUUUUCUAAAUUCUCCACAGGCCAUUAAAAUUAUACAGGAAAGUGAUACGUAUGUUUAUUGCAUUCCUCAAUAAAAGCUGUAACAUAAUACGUA
Long non-coding RNA from Camelus dromedarius (Arabian camel), 787 nucleotides. RefSeq lists it as uncharacterized. The transcript is spliced from 2 exons. NCBI's taxonomy places the organism in Eukaryota, Metazoa, Chordata, Mammalia, Artiodactyla, Camelidae. The record is from RefSeq and is a predicted model, not a curated record.